CCUACGGGAGGCAGCAGUGAGGAAUAUUGGUCAAUGGGCGGGAGCCUGAACCAGCCAAGUCGCGUGAGGGAAGACGGUCCUAUGGAUUGUAAACCUCUUUAGCCGGGGAGCAAUGGCUGCCACGUGUGCCCGCACUGAGAGUACCCGCAGAAUAAGCAUCGGCUAACUCCGUGCCAGCAGCCGCGGUAAUACGGAGGAUGCGAGCGUUAUCCGGAUUUAUUGGGUUUAAAGGGUGCGUAGGCGGAGUUUUAAGUCAGCGGUAAAAUUUCGGGGCUCAACCCCGGCCCGCCGUUGAAACUGGGGAUCUUGAGUGGGAGAGAAGUAUGCGGAAUGCGUGGUGUAGGGGUGAAAUGCAUAGAUAUCACGCAGAACCCCGAUUGCGAAGGCAGCAUACCGGCGCCCGACUGACGCUGAGGCACGAAAGCGUGGGGAUCGAACAGGAUUAGAUACCCGGGUAGUC
This 460-nucleotide ribosomal RNA is filed under the name uncultured bacterium. RNAcentral describes it as "partial 16S ribosomal RNA". It matches the Rfam family "Bacterial small subunit ribosomal RNA", at positions 338 to 795 of the family's 1533-position model. The record is from RNAcentral.